This 400-nucleotide ribosomal RNA is filed under the name phytoplankton environmental sample. RNAcentral describes it as "partial small subunit ribosomal RNA". It matches the Rfam family "Eukaryotic small subunit ribosomal RNA", at positions 587 to 979 of the family's 1831-position model. The record is from RNAcentral.
AGCUCCAGUAGCGUAUAUUUAUAUUGCUGCGUUUAAAAAGCUCGUCGUUGGAUGCAAGACACGGGGCGGCGGUCGGCCAGCACUGGUCGCACCUGCCGGCACCCCGAGCUCAGCGUGCCGGUCGUGGCCCCGUUCGCACUUAACCGUGUGGCGGCGGCGCGCCGGCAAGUUCACCUUGAACAAACUGGACCGCUCAGAGGGAGCGUCAGGCCUGAACAACUAAGCAUGGUAUGAUGGAAGAGGGGCUCGUUCUUAUUUUGUCGGUUUUAGAGAUUUUGCGAGCCAAUGGUUAAGAGGGACUGCCGGGGGCAUUCGUAUUGCAGGGGGAGAGGUGAAAUUCAAGGAUCCUUGCAAGACGUCCUACUGCGAAAGCAUUUGCCAAGAAUGUUUUCAUUAAUCA